AAGGACAUGGCUGACAUUGUUAUUCCUGUUUUACAAAUGAGGGAAUUGAGGCAGAUAGAAAUUUAGUGAAUUACAUAGUCACAUAUCUAAAUAAGUUUCUGAAGCUGAAUUUAAAUGCAGAUUUUCUUGACUUCAAGUCCUGGACUCUAUCCAUAUAAAAUAAUAAACUUGGUUGACACCUUUGUGCUGUCUCUGGGAGGAAUGGACAAACAAAACUAAGUUGUGGACUGGUAACAUUUAGUGCUUAUUUGCAAGACCAUCUUCCAGUGUAUCUGAGUCUAAAUCUGAAGUUAAUUUGUUUUUCUUGUGACCAGUAUUUAAGGGAUCUAUCUACACUGCAGUUCAGUCAUGCUGUGAAUUUUAGAUUUUCUCCAUUUGGCUUAGUCUAGCACCCAGGAAUGUAUACACCCACACCACACUGGCAUGUGCUAGCAAGUGACAAAUCAGAAACAACUGACUGUCCCCUGGGCUGUCCUAAGAUAAGCUUGCGGCACCAUUGGCACAUGUGAGACACAGGAAGUGAUGUAGAGAACUGCCUUUGGAGUUCAAGUCACUUCCUGUGUGGACUGCCUGGGUGCCAGUUGACCCCGGAACUCGAGUCUGGAGGAGCUCCUCAGAUGGCUUCCUUGAGACUAUCACAUGAGAAGAAAGGGACAACUGAAAGAGGACACAAAGAAGACAAUGGAAAAGGAAAUGAAAAAGAAGUUACAGGUAUAAGAAGAUCAUCAAGACCAGGAGGUCCAGAAUAUUCUCAUAGACCAGGAGAUCUGGAAGUGGUCCAGGAAAUGGUCCUAGAGACUAUGAAGAAUGGAAAUAUUCUCAGAGACCUCUUGUGUGGGAGGGGGCUAGGGAUAGAUGGGAAAGCAUAAAAUUCCUCAAUUUAGGGUUUUGAAUUCAACCGGGGAAUCUGAAGAUCUCUGAUUUGUUUGCCUUUUCCACCAAAUAAAGUCAGAUUUUGCUCA
Molecule: long non-coding RNA, 962 nt
Filed under: Monodelphis domestica (gray short-tailed opossum)
Lineage: Eukaryota; Metazoa; Chordata; Mammalia; Didelphimorphia; Didelphidae
Description: lncRNA (ENSMODG00000033387.2)
Source: RNAcentral